GGCCGAACGCUGGCGUCGUGCCUAAUACAUGCACGUUGAGCGAUGAAGAUUGGUGCUUGCACCAAUUUGAAGGGCAGCGACCGGGUGAGUAACGCGUGGGGAAUCUGCCUUUGAGCGGGGGGCAACAUUUGGAAACGAAUGCUAAUACCGCAUAACAACUUUAAACAUAAGUUUUAAGUUUGAAAGAUGCAAUUGCAUCACUCAAAGAUGAUCCCGCGUUGUAUUAGCUAGUUGGUGAGGUAAAGGCUCACCAAGGCGAUGAUACAUAGCCGACCUGAGAGGGUGAUCGGCCACAUUGGGAAUGAGACACGGCCCAAACUCCUACGGGAGGCAGCAGUAGGGAAUCUUCGGAAAUGGACGAAAGUCUGACCGAGAAACGCCGCGUGAGGGAAGAAGGUCUUCGGAUCGUAAAACUCUGUUGGUAGAGAAGAACGUUGGUGAGGGUGGAAAGCUCAUCAAGUGACGGUAACUACCCAGAAAGGGACGGCUAACUACGUG
RNAcentral lists this ribosomal RNA (498 nucleotides) under uncultured bacterium. RNAcentral's name for it is "partial 16S ribosomal RNA". It matches the Rfam family "Bacterial small subunit ribosomal RNA", at positions 27 to 507 of the family's 1533-position model. The record is from RNAcentral.